GAUCUGUUGGGUGUUUUGAACAGAGCAUAGUACAACCCCGCAGUCGAAGUACAUUCAGAGUUAUUAUAUAUAGACGGGAAUGUUUCCUGCAUUGCAGUUCAAUAAAUUCGUCUGGAUUUUUCUGGAUUUUUCGGGCUUGCUGACUGGAGUACUGUAAGCAGACACUACGUGUCACACAAGGUGUGCUUUGGAUUAUUGUACUGCUUGAGGAUCCAAUCAUGACCUAGUUUAAGCUCCCUGGCUAAGGCUGUCAGGUUCUGAUUUAAUAUCUGCUGAUACUCAAUGAAGUCCAUGAUACCGUGUAUCCAAACAAGGUGUCCAGGGCCUAAAUAUGAGGAUAAACAGCCCAUAAUAUCACAAAUCCACCACCAUCAUAGAUCCGCUUCCAUGCUUCUGAAGCCAGUGGCAGAUCCCACCUGAGGCUUCCCUAUUAACAGCUGGAAAAGGUAAACCUUCUUCACCAAAUUGAUUAGACCAAAGAAAGUGAUAACAGGCAGAAGAGAUGUUGGCAGACACAAGCUACAAAGAUACCCUAAAUGCGUUUGAAUAAAGAGCAACGAAUUGAAAUCGUACUGAUGGCCGGGUCAGGAAGCAGUCGCAUGGUGUAUCAGGAAAAGAUACGAAACAUAAAUCAUCUUAAGGAAUGUAUCACCAACGCAAUUACAAGUAUAACUCCAGCUGUGCUAAUACGUGUUCAUCAGCAGUGGCGGACACGUACUGAAAUGUGUUUUCAAAACAAUGGCAGUCAUGUAGAGCAUAUUAUAUAAAUAAAAAUGUUUUGUAUGGAAACGUAUAUGACUUACCCUGUAGAAUAGAAUAGAAUCUUUAUUGUCACUAUACACACAGGUACAGUGACAUUUUGUAUGGCAUCUCUCCAAUACAAGUAGUAGCAACAGUAAAAAAAUAGUAGCAGUAUAAAAUUUACAUUCUUAAAAAUUAAGAAACAAGAAAUCUACAGUCAGCAAAAGUAAUGCAUAUGUGCAUUUGUAAAUAUUAAAUACUAUAUUUGAGUAAAAGCUGCAUAGUUCGCAUGUGAAGCAUGGUGUGUGUGUGCAUUUUUCUUAAGGAUUUUAUAGUAGGCUUCCUACAUGAGGCUUCUUGUCUGAGUCAACACCUUUUAACUUAAAUAAAUGUUUUUUGUAGGUUAAUAAAUAAAUUAAUCUAUGGUUAAAGCAAGAAAAGCAGAACCCUUACAGUGCUUCACUUACAAUUAAGAUCUAAACGCAUACAUUUAUUUGACAUAAAACUUAACUUUGCUUUUUUUUUCAUCCAAAGCGACUUACACAAUGAGCUGAACACGAUGAGCAAUCGAGGGUUAAGGGACUUGCUCAGGGACCCAACAGUGUCAACUUGGUGAUGACAACCUUCUGUUUACUAGUCCAGUACCUUACCCACAAAACAAUUAAAGCUUUCUAAGAAUAUCUUGUGAAUUCAACCCUUUAUAUCAAUUAAAAUAGUCUUCAUUAAAAGUGUUUUAAAUACAA
Long non-coding RNA from Trichomycterus rosablanca, 1484 nucleotides. RefSeq lists it as uncharacterized. Lineage: Eukaryota; Metazoa; Chordata; Actinopteri; Siluriformes; Trichomycteridae. The record is from RefSeq and is a predicted model, not a curated record. The transcript is spliced from 5 exons.